RNAcentral lists this ribosomal RNA (480 nucleotides) under uncultured bacterium. Its description in RNAcentral is "bacterial SSU rRNA". It matches the Rfam family "Bacterial small subunit ribosomal RNA", at positions 903 to 1397 of the family's 1533-position model. The record is from RNAcentral.
AAAUGAAUUGACGGGGACCCGCACAAGCGGUGGAGCAUGCUCUUUAAUUGGCUGCUAACCCAAGAACCUUACCCAGAUUUGACAUGCUACUGCAAACUCGGUGAAAGCCGAGCCUCUUUCGAAGGUGUAGCACAGGUGUUGCAUGGCUGUCGUCAGCUCGUACCGUGAGGCGUACCCUUAAGUGGGUUAACGAGCGCAACCCUUACUGCUAGUUGUAUCACUCUAGUGGAACUGCCGUCGUAAGGCGGAGGAAGGUGGGGACGAGGUCAAGUCGGUAUUGCCUUUAUGUCUGGGGCUAGAAGCAUGCUACAAUGGCACGUACAGCGGGAAGCAACAUAGCGAUAUGAAGCUAAUCUCUCAAAGCGUGUCCCAGUUCGGAUUGAAGUCUGAAAUUCGACUUCAUGAAGCCGGAAUCGCUAGUAAUCGUAGGUCAGCUAUACUACGGUGAAUACGUUCUCGGGUCUUGCACACACCGCCCGU